This 468-nucleotide ribosomal RNA is filed under the name uncultured bacterium. RNAcentral's name for it is "partial 16S ribosomal RNA". It matches the Rfam family "Bacterial small subunit ribosomal RNA", at positions 28 to 507 of the family's 1533-position model. The record is from RNAcentral.
GACGAACGCUGGCGGCGUGCUUAACACAUGCAAGUCGAACGGAAAGGCCCUGCUUUUGUGGGGUGCUCGAGUGGCGAACGGGUGAGUAACACGUGAGUAACCUGCCCUUGACUUUGGGAUAACUUCAGGAAACUGGGGCUAAUACCGGAUAGGAGCUCCUGCUGCAUGGUGGGGGUUGGAAAGUUUCGGCGGUUGGGGCUGGACUCGCGGCUUAUCAGCUUGUUGGGGGGGUAGUGGCUUACCAAGGCUUUGACGGGUAGCCGGCCUGAGAGGGUGACCGGCCACAUUGGGACUGAGAUACGGCCCAGACUCCUACGGGAGGCAGCAGUGGGGAAUAUUGCACAAUGGGCGGAAGCCUGAUGCAGCAACGCCGCGUGCGGGAUGACGGCCUUCGGGGUGUAAACCGCUUUCGCCUGUGACGAAGCGUGAGUGACGGUAAUGGGUAAAGAAGCACCGGCUAACUACGUG